This 77-nucleotide transfer RNA is filed under the name Nitrospinota bacterium. RNAcentral describes it as "tRNA-Arg". It matches the Rfam family "tRNA". Rfam says of the family: Transfer RNA (tRNA) molecules are approximately 80 nucleotides in length. Their secondary structure includes four short double-helical elements and three loops (D, anti-codon, and T loops). Further hydrogen bonds mediate the characteristic L-shaped molecular structure. tRNAs have two regions of fundamental functional importance: the anti-codon, which is responsible for specific mRNA codon recognition, and the 3' end, to which the tRNAs corresponding amino acid is attached (by aminoacyl-tRNA synthetases). tRNAs cope with the degeneracy of the genetic code in two manners: having more than one tRNA (with a specific anti-codon) for a particular amino acid; and 'wobble' base-pairing, i.e. permitting non-standard base-pairing at the 3rd anti-codon position. The record is from RNAcentral. Lineage: Bacteria; Pseudomonadati; Nitrospinota.
GCCCCCGUCGCCUAACGAAUAAGGCCAUCGGACCCGCACCCGGUUGUAUGUGAGUUUAAAUCUCACCGGGGGCGCCA